This 331-nucleotide unclassified non-coding RNA is filed under the name Bombus terrestris (buff-tailed bumblebee). RNAcentral describes it as "misc RNA ENSBTSG00005036037.1". The record is from RNAcentral. Lineage: Eukaryota; Metazoa; Arthropoda; Insecta; Hymenoptera; Apidae.
UAGCCUUAAGGAGGAAUUUCAAUUAAUCAAAUUGCUCUUAGAGAGCAACAAAAUACGAGAGAGUCAACAAAUUUUCAUUCAAUUAUGUGAAAGUUUAUUUAAUUGUGUGCAAAUAUUUACUAUAUAUACAUAUAUACAUGUAUUUUCUCCCAAUACAAUGGAACCUCGAUUAUCAGAACAAAAGAGGGAUUAUCGUUUAUUAUGGGAACAUCGAUGGAAAGAGGCAUGCCUUGUUACGAGGAAGAUUUGGAAACGAGAAUAGAGAGAAACUAAAAAAGUCGAUACAUCAUUGUAAAGAAGUUAUGUUCCUUUGUUACGUGUUAACAUCUAC